This is a long non-coding RNA of Macrobrachium nipponense, 1779 nucleotides long. RefSeq lists it as uncharacterized. The transcript is spliced from 3 exons. The record is from RefSeq and is a predicted model, not a curated record. Lineage: Eukaryota; Metazoa; Arthropoda; Malacostraca; Decapoda; Palaemonidae.
UCCAUUUCAGAACACUCUCAGACGCUAUUGGUGUAAGUUUAUUCAGUGUGCGGUGUGUCCGAGAUAUUUGUUGAAGUUCGAUUGUGUUUGGGAUUACUGCUGGAUUUUUCAAGAAGUUUAAUCGUUUUAAAAAAUCAUACAAUUCCAUCAGUUUGUCUACCCGUUACAAUAAGAAGAGCAUUCAAAAGUUGUACCCCACACUAUAGAACAAGGCAGAUCAUCUGCAGAUAAUCUACCAACUAUCCACUCCCCUAGUACCGCAGAAUUUACUUUCCUAGUAGGAAAAGAGGGGAUCGAGUAACCCUGGAACUUGAUGGUAUUGGUCACGAAGCAAGGACUACAUGAGGCAUUCUUACACAUCAAUACAUUUAACCACCAGCAGACUGAACAGGCCAGUAUCUACGCGCGCUAUUAAUAUUAAAGUCAAUGAGAUUUAACGCCAUGCCUUACGGAAGCGAAUAAAUCAUUGGGCAGCAGCCAGUUGCUGAAACGGUUUUCUUUAGCCUUGCAUGGGCAAUAUCAUUGAGGGAUUUAAUUCUGCAAGACUGCAGCUCGCCAUCAGACUUCUGCACUACAAUAACUUCAACAUGGAUGCCCGAGAGCACUUUUACUGGCUGUUAUUAAAGAGAUCAUCAACCACAUUCUGCAUUGACGAGAGGAGCUAAAGGAUUGUCACGUCUAUGAAAUCUGGCGGUUGUCAAAUGUCUCAUCGAUGAAGAAAAAAGUUUGAGAAUUAAGGCCACACCCACAUAAUGUCGAAUUAGCAACUCUACGGCAGCUUGUGGUUGUGCCCAUUAAGGAGAAAUUGGCUGGUGGAGUAGUAUGUCUAAUAGAGAUGAAUUAGCAUUUAUAAAACCUAUCUUACCAAAGAAGGAGGCUCAUGAGAAAGAGAGAAGGAAAGGUAACCAUCCAUGAGUGACAUUGAAUUUGCACUUAUGUAGCAGCUGGUGUGGUUGUUACAUGCUGAACGUGACUGAAGGCAGGUUGCAUCUAAAUGGUGUGAUGUUGAUGUAGCAUCCCUAUGCUAGCUGGAUACGUAUCGCCCUGGUGAUAUUGAAACAAGUACCUCAGUGGCAGCUGGUUACUUGUUGUAGCUGGUUACUUGUCUCACCGAAAAAGAAUUUGAGAGGAAGAUUCCAUCCACGUGGUUUUAGCUGAAUUUGAUGCAUUAUAACGUAGUCUGCAGUUGGUAAAGAAGAUAGGGUAGUUAAUUGCAUCUACAUUAGUCCUGAAUUUGACUCACUGGAAACGUGUUGAGUUGUUGAACUGAUGUGACUCCUGGGGAAUGAGCCAUCAAUCUAAAUACCCACAUCUACAUUGAGUGAAAGACUUGACCCAGUGGUGUGGCUGCGUUGGUGAAGGAAGACUACUUCAGCUGCUGGUUGCAUUCACCUAGAGGUGCUUAACCUGUUUUACAGUAGAGAUAGAGGACUUGGUUGACAGGAUAUGUUAGCACACUCGCCAACCACAGACUGUAAACCAUUGUAGUAAAACAAGUUAACACUUCUGCGUGAAUAGAGCCAGUUGCUAAAGUAGUCUUCCUUACACAAACACUGUCACACCACCGGGACAAGUCUUCUCCUCAAAAAUGUAGAAGCAGGCAGUUAAUCAUGGCAGAGGCUCCCCCUGCAAACCACUAUGGCAGCCAAGUGACGAAGUAGUCUUCCAAGCUGUAUUCAACUUCCAAAUUAUAGUCACCUUAAAGGGAUUAUGUAACUCUCACAAAUUACUGUAAGGCCGAAUUUCCUUAAUGAUCUGCAUUUUUGUAUCUGUAAAAAA